Molecule: ribosomal RNA, 253 nt
Filed under: uncultured bacterium
Lineage: Bacteria
Description: partial 16S ribosomal RNA
Rfam family: Bacterial small subunit ribosomal RNA
Source: RNAcentral
GACAGAGGGGGCAAGCGUUGCUCGGAAUUACUGGGCGUAAAGGGCGCGUAGGCGGGAUGGCAAGUCGGUCGUGAAAUCCCUCGGCUCAACCGAGGAACGUCGAUCGAUACUGCUGUUCUUGAGGAUUGCAGAGGAGACUGGAAUUCCCGGUGUAGCGGUGAAAUGUGUAGAGAUCGGGAGGAACACCGGUGGCGAAGGCGGGUCUCUGGGCAAUUCCUGACGCUGAGGCGCGAAAGCCAGGGGAGCGAACGGG